UGGGGGAUAUUGCACAAUGGGGGGAACCCUGAUGCAGCGACGCCGCGUGGAGGAAGAAGUAUCUCGGUAUGUAAACUCCUAUCAGCAGGGAAGAAGACAGACGGUACCUGACUAAGAAGCCCCGGCUAACUACGUGCCAGCAGCCGCGGUAAUACGUAGGGGGCGAGCGUUAUCCGGAUUUACUGGGUGUAAAGGGAGCGUAGACGGCCAUGCGAGCCUGAUGUGAAAGGCGUGGGCACAACCCGCGGACUGCAUCGGGGACUGUGUGGCUGGAGUGUUGGAGGGGCAGGCGGAAUUCCUGGU
Molecule: ribosomal RNA, 303 nt
Filed under: uncultured bacterium
Lineage: Bacteria
Description: bacterial SSU rRNA
Rfam family: Bacterial small subunit ribosomal RNA
Source: RNAcentral